AUUCAACCCGGUGAUACAGACAGAUGGAAACCUGGCUGGGGUUGGGGCUGGCAAGGGAGCCCCUCUCCUAGCCUCCUCCAUGGGGACUGUGGCUCCACGGUCCCCAUCCUGCUCAGCCUCCCAUUCCUGCAGCACCUCCUCCAGAUUGAAGCAGUGCCGGUAGCUCACAAAGAAGGUCUUCACCUGGGUGAGAGUCUUGUUCCCAAUCACCUCUGUAACAGUCCCAAAGUCUUUGCCAUACCUACAGAUGGCUUGGGCAGCCAAAAGCUGCUCCUCUGUGGUCCAGCAGAAGUUGAACUUGGUGUUGGCCUCCAGGGGGUGGAGUGGAUCAAUGCCGCCCUCCAGGGCUUAGCGCAGGCCGCUGUUCCUCUGCUUUAUGCUCUGUACCUCUCUCUUGAGGUCUCCAUCAUUGCUCUCUCUCAGGCCUCCUCGACCCUCUUCGAACUCAUCACUGUCUUCUUUGUCCUUACAGCCCCUCAGCCGCCGGGCCUGUCUGUCCAUCAUGCCAGUUCGGCUGUGGGUUUUCUUCCAAGAGUGGUGAUAUUUCACCCAGGCUGGAAAUCAACUUGUCGGGCAGCAUCUGCUGGAUCCACACUUGUCGUGGAAGCCAAAGGCCUGUUCAAACAACACCUUGUCCUCUACUGUCCACUUGUCGGGGAACGGGGUGAAGUUGGCCAGGUCGGCCAGUGACUUCUCCACAUGGUGCUUAUGCCACAAGAGCAUGCCCAGCACCUGCUUAAUGUUGUAGCUGUGCUUCUCUGUGGCCAUCGCAAUGUAUUUGUCAAGCUUGGCAUCCGACACACAGCGGUUGGAUCCGACACACAUCCGACACACACCAGCAUCCCCUUCAGCUUCUUGUUGCUGUAGCAUGUGAGGCUCUCAGGCUUGCUCUCUGCAAUUACAGCCUGGUAAUUGGUUCCAAUGUGGCUCAUGCUGUCGUGUGAGUGCUCCUCCUUGCUGCUGUCAUCCUCAGAGUGGGGCUGUCCGCCGUUGGGCACCGUCUUGGCCCGGCUGUGGGAUUCACACUCCAUCACGGAGGGCAUUACCCCUCUCAACUGCCCCAGGGGGCGCGGGAGCCUUCGAGAGUGACAGUGGUUGCCGCACUUGCCCUGAGUGCCAUGCCCGGCCUGGCCUGGAGAGGUCCCCACGUGCUAUCUUCCAUCUUGCCCCUGCCCCCAAGAUGCUACUUUUCUAGAGGAUACUUUAUUUUUACCCUGCUAUGACUUCUGUACUUUAAUCAUCUGAACCAGUCAAUUUGAAACUUGAUUCCCCUCAUUUAUUGGACAUUCUUAAUGUUGAUUAAAUAUUUAUGCUGUCGGAGGCCUUUUUUUCCCCACCAUGAAACCUGCAAAUUUGGAACAUUCAGGAGCUUUAAUUGUGAGGACAGGCACACUUACAUUCAUAACCAAAUGGUCAAAGAUGCAUUUCUCAUUCUCUUUGAUUUGGUGGGAGGAGGAAGAGGCAUGGGGAUGAUGGCGAAAGGACAGCUGUGUAAUCCUAGGGGCACAAUCCUGGCAAACUGGAUUUCUUGCUGACUGAGGACUGGACACAGAACUGUUCUGAGGCUAAUUAGCAAUAAGCAGAAUUGGCCUAAGUCAAGGGGCCCUUGCGAUCAUCCUGUAAGAUUGUUGGAAGCCCGCCCACCUGGGUCCCAGAACUCAUGGACCUAGGCUCCCAUGUAUUCAUUCCCAGCCCUGAGGGAGGUAAGGUAUGCCUUGCCAGCACUCACAGUCCCUUACAUGCCCAACUGAUCCUGCCACGACGGUGGCAAUGGUGUUACCCCUACCACCCCAGCCCACUGGCUGUCCGGUGUAAUCAUUAAGAGCUUGGGCCUCAGCAUGGGCCACCCUGAGGGGCUGAGGUUUGCACAAGGGCACUCAGCCAAGGAGGAAAAAGGAAUUAAAACCCAGCCUGUCUUCUGUUUACCAAACCUUGCACCCUGGCUUGGGGCUGGGUGUUCCCAAAGGAAGUGGCCCCUUUUUCUUUGUACAAAGACUCUGUAGGCCAGCAGUGAACCCAGUCAGGCCUAAGUUCCAAACCCCAUCCCACCACUCAGUAACUAUGCAGGCUUGGGCUCUCUGAGCCUCAGCAUCCCCAGUGUGGGUUGGAAAAAUAGCAUCCAUCACAUGGCAUUUUCAUGUGUAUUAAAUGAGAUAAUAUGUGUAAAGCAUUUAGCACAAUGCCUGACACACAGGAAGUAGCUCCAUAAAUAAAAAAUAUUAUUAUUAUGAUUACCAUUAUUAUUACCAGGACUCUAAUGCUAUGUUAACUCAGCAUUAUUAGUAUGAGUUUGCUAGGACUUGCCAUAACAAAAUAUCCCAGACUGGGUGGCAGUAUAUUUCCUCACAGAUCUGGAGGCUGGACGUCCAAGAUCAAGGUGUUGGCAGGGUUGGUUUCUUCUGAGGGCUCUCUCCUUGGCUUGUAGAUGGUCAUCUUCUCUCGGUAUCUUCACAUGGUCCUUCCUCUGUACAUAUCUGUGUCCAAAUUUCCUCUAUAAGAACAUCUGACACCAGUCAGAUUAGAUUAGUGUCCACCCUAAUGACUUCAUUUCACUUCUUUAAAGAGCCUACCUCUAAAUACAGUUACAUCUGAAGCUACUGGGGGAUAGAACUUCAACGUAUGAAUUGGGGGGAUGGUGACAGUUCAGCCUGUAACACACCUAUUCUCCAUCCCAAACCGUAUCCUUAAGAAAACAUUUUAACUGGCAUUUCUUGGGCACAUGUUUCUGCUCAGUACUGAGCCCAUUUACUUCAGUUUCUUCAUUUCGUUUUUCCAAUUACCUCAUAAGUAUUAUCACAUCAUUUUGCAGAUAAGCAAACUAAAGUGCAGAGAGCUUAAUGACAAGCCAAGGUCCCACAGUAUGGUAAUGAACCCCUUCUUCUGGCCAAAUCCAUGGCUGCUACAUCAGGUUUGCUAAUGGAUUCUCACCGUAUGGUAUUAGUGGCUGAUAACACUUAAUCUGUUACCUUCCCUGGUUGUUCUGUUGCAGUAGCUGCUGGUGGCCAGCCAGCCACAGCAGAGCAAACACUCUGUCCUCAUAAUCUCUUCCUCCAUAAAGGUUUUCCUCACUUCCCAUUGCUGUCUUCUCACUAGAUGUCUCUGACUCUUCAUUUCUCACCUGUUGCACUAUCCUGUCAAUCCCCGUAUGUUCACAAUUCAUUUACCUGCCUCUUGGUCCUACUGGCUUGAGUUUCAUGAAGGUUAAGAGGGGAUGCCACUAGUGUUAAGAGUGGAUGUGGGUGUUAGGUACAUCGGAACCAGCAGGAACAGGGGAAUGGCAACAUCUAGAAGAUCUGACCAAAGUGUAAUCAAGUCUACAUCUGUAAUUGGUGGAUGAGCUGCUCGGAGUCAAGUCACCUCAGGAUAUCAAGAAGAUACAUGCCCGGGCACGGUGGCUCAUGCCUGUAAUCCCAGCACUUUGGGAGGCCGAGGUGGGCAGAUCACCUGAGGUCAGGAGUUCGAGACCAGCCUGGCCAACAUGGUGAAACCCCAUCUCUACUAAAAAUACAAAAAUUAGGCGUGGUGGUGGGUGCUUGUAAUCCCAGCUACUCAGAAGGCUGAGGCAGGAGAAUUGCUUGAACCUGGGAGGCAGAGGUUACAGUGAGCCGAGAUCACACCACUGCACUCCAGCCUGGAUGACAGGGUGAGACUCUCUCUAAAAGAAAAGAAGAUCUGUGAUUUCCAAAUGGCAUAAGGAAUAGGUCAGAAAAGUAACAACAGGAGGAGGGAGUGGAAGGAUUUUCAAGAAAUGCAAGAAAGCCAGGGAAAGCAGCAGAUUCAGGGGCAGGUACUUACAAAGAGGUGAGAAAGUGAUCAGAAAAACAGGUUGGUAUAAAUAUUACAAGCAAACAGAAGAUAGGAAACAGGAUGGCAGAUGGCAAAGCUGCCCCUGUGCUUGGGAAUAGUCCUUUUCAGCAAAGGAAGAAUCUUUAUUAAAUAUUAAAUUUUGGGGUAUACUGCUUUAAGAAAUUUACCAUCGAAAAAGCCAGACUUUGAGAAUAGGCAAGCAUUACUAAAGCUUUAUUACUAAAUGCUAUUUGCUGCUCAUUGAAUGUGUACCCCAUGAAUGCCGUGAACUAUAAGGAUGUGUGUG
This 4093-nucleotide long non-coding RNA is filed under the name Macaca mulatta (Rhesus monkey). RNAcentral's name for it is "lncRNA (ENSMMUG00000054331.1)". The record is from RNAcentral. Lineage: Eukaryota; Metazoa; Chordata; Mammalia; Primates; Cercopithecidae.